CAAGACUCUGCUUAUACUAUGGGAUGGAAAGUCAAGCCUUGUCUUGGGAAUGGUGAGGGGCUCUGGUACCACAAAUACACUAAAAAUACUUCCAUGAGUUUCCUUAUAGUUGGAAAUGAAGCAGGAGCAGCAGGAAUAAGAAAUGAGGAACUCCCUGCCAGCUCUCCUGGCGCCCUCACCAUGCCUGAGUCCCUGACUCCAGACCAAGGAAUCUCUGAUACAGCAGG
Molecule: long non-coding RNA, 227 nt
Filed under: Homo sapiens (human)
Lineage: Eukaryota; Metazoa; Chordata; Mammalia; Primates; Hominidae
Description: HSALNT0073936
Source: RNAcentral